Molecule: long non-coding RNA, 647 nt
Organism: Suricata suricatta (meerkat)
Lineage: Eukaryota; Metazoa; Chordata; Mammalia; Carnivora; Herpestidae
Exons: 5
Source: RefSeq, a predicted model, not a curated record
CCUCUGGUUGGAACCAUGUUCUGAUACUUCUUGUCUCUGUCCAUAGUAUUUGCAUCAGGUAGGAAGUGACCAUUUUAAAACUGGAGAGAACAAGCACCAAGAGGUGAGGCCAGAAGCAUGAAGUAGGUGAAAGGCAAAGGGGGCCACAGGAGAGGAAAUCCACCCUGACUGGGACGUGAUGUGGGCAUGUUUCCAAGACUGGAAAAGUCCAGGAGGUGCCAUCGCAAAUGUGUGGGGGAGAUGCACGAGAGGGACACUGCUAUAGUCAGCACAGCAGUCUCUCCUCUGCAGACAAUCAUCUGAACAGGAGCAGAGGCUGGACUCUAAUCUCGUCUCCCCACAACGAAAUCUAUUGCAUGUCCAUAUUCGAGCUGCAAAAUUACACAGUUCAGUUGCCAGCAUAUAACUUCUGAAAGUUCUGUUUUACAAAUUGUGUUCUGUGGAGAACUGGAAUCAGAAUCACUAAGAAUCACCAGAUUUCCAAGUAAGUCUUGUGCAUCCUGAAAUCUGAGAGCCACUGCCAAUGAAACUAAAUAAGAUGAUUAACUCGAAUCAUAGUGAAACUCCACUGUGACAUAUGUACUCCAUGCAAUGUGUACAGCAUCUUGUCUGCUAGAGACUAGUACUCCUCAACCUCAAUAAAAUCA